AGCUACGGCCAUACACAACUAAACCCACCGCAUCCCGUCCAAACUGUGCAGUUAAAGAGUUGAUAGCAUAGUCAGUAUGACGGGGGACCACAUGAGAGUUUUUUUUUUUCUUUGAGA
RNAcentral lists this ribosomal RNA (117 nucleotides) under Linnemannia elongata AG-77. Lineage: Eukaryota; Fungi; Mortierellomycota; Mortierellomycetes; Mortierellales; Mortierellaceae. The record is from RNAcentral.